This 86-nucleotide microRNA precursor is filed under the name Solanum tuberosum (potato). RNAcentral describes it as "MIR8024 microRNA precursor family". It matches the Rfam family "MIR8024 microRNA precursor family". The record is from Rfam by way of RNAcentral. Lineage: Eukaryota; Viridiplantae; Streptophyta; Magnoliopsida; Solanales; Solanaceae.
UUGGAGAAUUUGAAGACUUCAACUUGCAGACUUGAUGAAUUUGAAGACUUCAACUUGCAAACUUGAAGUUUUUGAAGACUUCAACU